Molecule: transfer RNA, 62 nt
Filed under: Discolomatidae sp. 3 ACP-2013
Lineage: Eukaryota; Metazoa; Arthropoda; Insecta; Coleoptera; Discolomatidae
Description: tRNA-Gly
Source: RNAcentral
UAUUUAUAUAGUAUAAUUUAUUAUAUUAAAUUUCCAAUUUAAAGAUCUAUUUUAGUAUAAAU